UAGCCUAUGUUACUCUCCAAGUUCUUAAACUAUAACCAUGUAAAAAAUCAGAUCAAUCCGUUGCUCCGUAGCGGCGUGAGUGAAGGACAAAGCAA
This is a long non-coding RNA of Maniola jurtina (meadow brown), 95 nucleotides long. RefSeq lists it as uncharacterized. The record is from RefSeq and is a predicted model, not a curated record. NCBI's taxonomy places the organism in Eukaryota, Metazoa, Arthropoda, Insecta, Lepidoptera, Nymphalidae. The transcript has 3 exons.